GGUCAGGUAGCUCAGUUGGUAGAGCAACGGACUGAAAAUCCGUGUGUCGCCGGUUCGAUCCCGGCCCUGACCACCU
This 76-nucleotide transfer RNA is filed under the name Planctomycetota bacterium. Its description in RNAcentral is "Planctomycetes bacterium (sediment metagenome) tRNA-Phe". It matches the Rfam family "tRNA". From Rfam's summary of the family: Transfer RNA (tRNA) molecules are approximately 80 nucleotides in length. Their secondary structure includes four short double-helical elements and three loops (D, anti-codon, and T loops). Further hydrogen bonds mediate the characteristic L-shaped molecular structure. tRNAs have two regions of fundamental functional importance: the anti-codon, which is responsible for specific mRNA codon recognition, and the 3' end, to which the tRNAs corresponding amino acid is attached (by aminoacyl-tRNA synthetases). tRNAs cope with the degeneracy of the genetic code in two manners: having more than one tRNA (with a specific anti-codon) for a particular amino acid; and 'wobble' base-pairing, i.e. permitting non-standard base-pairing at the 3rd anti-codon position. The record is from RNAcentral. Lineage: Bacteria; Pseudomonadati; Planctomycetota.